CUAAAGAUGGCGACCGGCGCACGGGUGAGUAACACGUAUCCAACCUGCCGAUAACUCGGGGAUAGCCUUUCGAAAGAAAGAUUAAUAUCCGAUGGCAUAGUUCUUCCGCAUGGUAGAACUAUUAAAGAAUUUCGGUCAUCGAUGGGGAUGCGUUCCAUUAGGUUGUUGGCGGGGUAACGGCCCACCAAGCCUUCGAUGGAUAGGGGUUCUGAGAGGAAGGUCCCCCACAUUGGAACUGAGACACGGUCCAA
RNAcentral lists this ribosomal RNA (251 nucleotides) under uncultured bacterium. Its description in RNAcentral is "partial 16S ribosomal RNA". It matches the Rfam family "Bacterial small subunit ribosomal RNA", at positions 78 to 334 of the family's 1533-position model. The record is from RNAcentral.